AGAGUUUGAUCCUGGCUCAGAAUGAACGCUGGCGGCGUGCCUAACACAUGCAAGUCGAGCGAGAAAGUUCCUUCGGGAAUGAGUAAAGCGGCGGACGGGUGAGUAACGCGUGAGAACUUGCCUUUUGGUGAAGAAUACCUCCGAGAAAUCGGGGUUAAUGCUGCAUAAGUCCCUUCGGGGAGAAAGAUGGCUUUAUGCUGUCGCCAAAAGAUAGGCUUGCGUACUAUUAGCUAGUUGGUAGGGUAAAGGCCUACCAAGGCGAUGAUGGUUAACCGGCCUGAGAGGGUGAUCGGUCACAUUGGAACUGAGAUACGGUCCAAACUCCUACGGGAGGCAGCAGUGAGGAAUAUUGCGCAAUGGGCGAAAGCCUGACGCAGCGACGCCGCGUGAAGGAUGAAGGUCUUCGGAUUGUAAACUUCUGUUAAGUGGGAAGAAAGCUUGUUUUAUAAUACAAGACAAGUAUGACGGUACCAUUAGAGAAAGCACUGGCUAACCUCGUGCCAGCAGCCGCGGUAAUACGAGGGGUGCAAGCGUUAUUCGGAAUGACUGGGCGUAAAGGGCGCGUAGACGGUAUAUUAAGCUUGUCGUUAAAUUCCCCAGCUUAACUGGGGGCCUGCGGCGAGAACUGAUAUUCUAGAGGGUGAGAGAGAAGAGUGGAAUUUCCGGAGUAGCGGUAAAAUGCGUAGAUCUCGGAAGGAACACCGAUGGCGAAGGCAGCUCUUUGGCUCAUACCUGACGUUGAGGCGCGAAAGCGUGGGGAGCAAACAGGAUUAGAUACCCUGGUAGUCCACGCUGUAAACUAUAAUCACUAGAUGUUAGUUUGGCAUUGCUAAAUUAGUAUCGAAGCUAACGCGUUAAGUGAUUCGCCUGGGGGAGUACGGUCGCAAGAUUAAAACUCAAAGGAAUUGACGG
This 912-nucleotide ribosomal RNA is filed under the name uncultured bacterium. Its description in RNAcentral is "bacterial SSU rRNA". It matches the Rfam family "Bacterial small subunit ribosomal RNA", at positions 8 to 916 of the family's 1533-position model. The record is from RNAcentral.